AGCAAUCACGCCUCGAACAUCAGGAGAUUUAACCAGAGCAGCAGCCUUGAGCCAUCCAUCAAGUUCUUCUUCCAGUUUUUUAGCUGAAAAUGCGAAAGUAACAGUAUUACAUCCCAAUAACACCAAAGCUACUCAUCUAGAAGGCGAACAAUUCCAAGAUUUGCUUGAAAGCUAAAGUUACCUAAAUUUCACCCUCUCAACACAUCUCGUUAAAAUUGGGCGCUGUUUACUUCUUUUUGGAGCAAAAUCACACCAUAAAUAAACCCUAAAUUGAGCUCUCCAAACCCAAAAAUCUUUGCACUUCAAAAAAAAAAAAUCAUUUGAUCAAGUAAUAUUUUAACUCUAAUUUUAGUUUUUCUCACUUGAAUUAUUUUUUCCAGAUGUGAUUCCUGUGAAGCAAACGCUGAAGCCUUGAAAUGCAAGCCGGAAGAAUUACGAUUAUCGGUGUUCCAUUAGCCAGCAUGUAAUGCUCUUCUGAUUUUCUCCAUUU
Molecule: unclassified non-coding RNA, 490 nt
Filed under: Hevea brasiliensis (rubber tree)
Lineage: Eukaryota; Viridiplantae; Streptophyta; Magnoliopsida; Malpighiales; Euphorbiaceae
Source: RNAcentral